RNAcentral lists this ribosomal RNA (497 nucleotides) under uncultured bacterium. Its description in RNAcentral is "partial 16S ribosomal RNA". It matches the Rfam family "Bacterial small subunit ribosomal RNA", at positions 28 to 507 of the family's 1533-position model. The record is from RNAcentral.
GAUGAACGCUGGCGGCGUGCCUAAUACAUGCAAGUCGAGCGAACAGACGAGGAGCUUGCUCCUCUGACGUUAGCGGCGGACGGGUGAGUAACACGUGGAUAACCUACCUAUAAGACUGGGAUAACUUCGGGAAACCGGAGCUAAUACCGGAUAAUAUAUUGAACCGCAUGGUUCAAUAGUGAAAGACGGUUUUGCUGUCACUUAUAGAUGGAUCCGCGCCGCAUUAGCUAGUUGGUAAGGUAACGGCUUACCAAGGCAACGAUGCGUAGCCGACCUGAGAGGGUGAUAGGCCACACUGGAACUGAGACACGGUCCAGACUCCUACGGGAGGCAGCAGUAAGGAAUCUUCCGCAAUGGGCGAAAGCCUGACGGAGCAACGCCGCGUGAGUGAUGAAGGUCUUCGGAUCGUAAAACUCUGUUAUUAGGGAAGAACAAAUGUGUAAGUAACUAUGCACGUCUUGACGGUACCUAAUCAGAAAGCCACGGCUAACUACGUG